RNAcentral lists this ribosomal RNA (551 nucleotides) under uncultured Glomeromycotina. RNAcentral describes it as "SSU rRNA". It matches the Rfam family "Eukaryotic small subunit ribosomal RNA", at positions 548 to 1098 of the family's 1831-position model. Lineage: Eukaryota; Fungi; Glomeromycota. The record is from RNAcentral.
UUGGAGGGCAAGUCUGGUGCCAGCAGCCGCGGUAAUUCCAGCUCCAAUAGCGUAUAUUAAAGUUGUUGCAGUUAAAAAGCUCGUAGUUGAAUUUCGGGGUUUAUCCGUUGGUCGGGCUUUUGGGUCUGUACUGGCGUGAUGAAUUCCUACCUUCUGAAUAACCAGCAUGUCAUUAAUUUGGUGCGCCGGGGAAGCAGGACUGUUACCUUGAAAAAAUUAGAGUGCUUAAAGCAGGCUAUCGCCUGAAUACAUUAGCAUGGAAUAAUGAAAUAGGACGGCAUGGUUCUAUUUUGUUGGUUUCUAGGAUCACCGUAAUGAUUAAUAGGGAUAGUUGGGGGCAUUAGUAUUCAAUUGUCAGAGGUGAAAUUCUUGGAUUUAUUGAAGACUAACUUCUGCGAAAGCAUUUGCCAAGGAUGUUUUCAUUAAUCAAGAACGAAAGUUAGGGGAUCGAAGACGAUCAGAUACCGUCGUAGUCUUAACCAUAAACUAUGCCGACUAGGGAUCGGACGAUGUUAAUUUUUUAAUGACUCGUUCGGCGCCUUACGGGAAAC